GCCAAGCCCCAGCAGCAGCCGAGCUACCAGGCCAAGCCCCAGCAGCAGCCGAGCUACCAGGCCAAGCCCCAGCAGCAGCCGAGCUACCAGGCCAAGCCCCAGCAGCAGCCGAGCUACCAGGCCAAGCCCCAGCAGCAGCCGAGCGGAUUUCAAAGCAAAGAUGGCAUGUGGGACUUUGCUCUUUCCCAUGAUGUCUCUUUUGACCCAAAUGAGGAGAUGCCCACUUACCCUGAAGUGAAUGUUCGGCCUAGAAAUGUUAGACCAACUCAUAUGGUGGCACCAAACCAUCCUGGAUGGCAGCGGCGAUGGGUCCGUUAGUGACUUUGAGUUUGGCGACUUGUGACUCUUCAGGAGAAUCGGCCAUCUUUGAAAACUCAAUAAAAUAAUUGAACUACA
Long non-coding RNA from Platichthys flesus (European flounder), 396 nucleotides. RefSeq lists it as uncharacterized. The transcript is spliced from 2 exons. Lineage: Eukaryota; Metazoa; Chordata; Actinopteri; Pleuronectiformes; Pleuronectidae. The record is from RefSeq and is a predicted model, not a curated record.